Molecule: non-coding RNA, 402 nt
Organism: Oryzias latipes (Japanese medaka)
Lineage: Eukaryota; Metazoa; Chordata; Actinopteri; Beloniformes; Adrianichthyidae
Source: RefSeq, a predicted model, not a curated record
UCUCCUCCCCCCUCCCUUCUCUGCUUCUUCCAGAUUCGACCCAGCUGUCGGCAUUUACCUCAUCCCCCACUCCUGUAUUAAAGAUGGCUCCAGUCCAGUAUUCAUCGCCAAUUCGUUGCCCUCUUUGAGAUCUUUCAUCCACAAGUCCUGGGUCCAGUCAAAAGAUCUUCAUCCUCAAGAUCUUCUCCUUGCUCCAAGUUACUACCACGCCUUGACUUCAUCCUUCGAUCACGCCAAGCCUGUUCUCCCUACGCCAAGCUCCGCUUACCUUCAUCUCGCCUCUCAACAUUGCCUCCGAUGAAACUUACCUCCAUCUCUACGUCUCACUACUCCAUCUCCGGUGACGUCUCCGCUGCCAGCCUCUAAACCGCCAUAGACUUUGAAAUAAAUCCUUUCUCGCCA